UAGACUUCCCUUGUUUACCUUAUCGUUUGACUGAGACCUGAGUGGGCAGACUGUGGGAGGCCAGUAGUCCCAAGAGGAGCUGACAGAUGCCUUUGGACAAACAAGCAACAUGAAAGCCAGCACCUUGGAUCCCCUUAUCUUUCAGUCAUUGGCUGUGGGCUGCCCUGGGGUGGGUGAGGAAGGGGCUGUAACUUCUCAGCCAAGGCAGAGCCUGUUGGUCGAGGACAAUUCCCCAGAGAAGCAGGGCAUCUCGGAUCCAUUGGCGGCCACACUCACAGCAGCUUGGGGGGACACGGGUUCGAGCCCUAGUCCGGGAAGAUCCCACAUGCCGCGGAGCAGCUAAGCCUGUGUGCCACAACUACUGAGCCUGCGCUCUAGAGCCCACGUGCCACAACUACUGAAGCCCGCAUGCCACAACUACUGAAGCCCAUGUGCCUAGAGCCCAUACUCUGCAACAAGAGAAGCCACCACAGUGAGAAGGCUGUGCACCACAACAAAGAGUAGCCCCUGCUUGCUGCAACUAGAGAAAGCCCGUGUGCAACAACAA
This is a long non-coding RNA of Balaenoptera ricei (Rice's whale), 547 nucleotides long. RefSeq lists it as uncharacterized. The record is from RefSeq and is a predicted model, not a curated record. The transcript has 3 exons. Lineage: Eukaryota; Metazoa; Chordata; Mammalia; Artiodactyla; Balaenopteridae.